RNAcentral lists this ribosomal RNA (1194 nucleotides) under Vibrio parahaemolyticus. RNAcentral's name for it is "partial 23S ribosomal RNA". It matches the Rfam family "Bacterial large subunit ribosomal RNA", at positions 419 to 1618 of the family's 2925-position model. The record is from RNAcentral. Lineage: Bacteria; Pseudomonadati; Pseudomonadota; Gammaproteobacteria; Vibrionales; Vibrionaceae.
GGGACACGUGAUAUCCUGUCUGAAUAUGGGGGGACCAUCCUCCAAGGCUAAAUACUACUGACUGACCGAUAGUGAACCAGUACCGUGAGGGAAAGGCGAAAAGAACCCCUGUGAGGGGAGUGAAAUAGAACCUGAAACCGUGUACGUACAAGCAGUAGGAGCAGGCUUUGUCCUGUGACUGCGUACCUUUUGUAUAAUGGGUCAGCGACUUAUAUUCAGUGGCAAGGUUAACCAUCUAGGGGAGCCGUAGGGAAACCGAGUCUUAACUGGGCGUUCAGUCUCUGGAUAUAGACCCGAAACCAGGUGAUCUAGCCAUGGGCAGGUUGAAGGUUGAGUAACAUCAACUGGAGGACCGAACCGACUAAUGUUGAAAAAUUAGCGGAUGACUUGUGGCUAGGGGUGAAAGGCCAAUCAAACCUGGAGAUAGCUGGUUCUCCCCGAAAGCUAUUUAGGUAGCGCCUCGGACGAAUACUACUGGGGGUAGAGCACUGUUAAGGCUAGGGGGUCAUCCCGACUUACCAACCCUUUGCAAACUCCGAAUACCAGUAAGUACUAUCCGGGAGACACACGGCGGGUGCUAACGUCCGUCGUGGAGAGGGAAACAACCCAGACCGCCAGCUAAGGUCCCAAAUUACUACUAAGUGGGAAACGAUGUGGGAAGGCUCAGACAGCCAGGAUGUUGGCUUAGAAGCAGCCAUCAUUUAAAGAAAGCGUAAUAGCUCACUGGUCGAGUCGGCCUGCGCGGAAGAUGUAACGGGGCUAAGUAGUAAACCGAAGCUGCGGCAAUAUACUUUUGUAUAUUGGGUAGGGGAGCGUUCUGUAAGCGGUUGAAGGUGUGUGGUAACGCAUGCUGGACGUAUCAGAAGUGCGAAUGCUGACAUGAGUAACGAUAAAGGGGGUGAAAAACCUCCUCGCCGGAAGACCAAGGGUUCCUGUCCAACGUUAAUCGGGGCAGGGUAAGUCGACCCCUAAGGCGAGGCCGAAAGGCGUAGUCGAUGGGAAACGGGUUAAUAUUCCCGUACUUCUUACAAUUGCGAUGGGGGGACGGAGAAGGCUAGGUGGGCCUGGCGACGGUUGUCCAGGUUCAAGUGCGUAGGCUGAGAGAUUAGGUAAAUCCGGUUUCUCUUAAGGCUGAGACACGACGUCGAGCACCUACGGGUGUGAAGUCAUUGAUGCCAUGCUUCCAGGAAAAGC